This 201-nucleotide ribosomal RNA is filed under the name Serratia sp. BC2_KB1F3. RNAcentral describes it as "partial 16S ribosomal RNA". It matches the Rfam family "Bacterial small subunit ribosomal RNA", at positions 1138 to 1338 of the family's 1533-position model. The record is from RNAcentral. Lineage: Bacteria; Pseudomonadati; Pseudomonadota; Gammaproteobacteria; Enterobacterales; Yersiniaceae.
CUCAAAGGAGACUGCCAGUGAUAAACUGGAGGAAGGUGGGGAUGACGUCAAGUCAUCAUGGCCCUUACGAGUAGGGCUACACACGUGCUACGAUGGCGUAUACAAAGAGAAGCGACCUCGCGAGAGCAAGCGGACCUCAUAAAGUACGUCGUAGUCCGGAUUGGAGUCUGCAACUCGACUCCAUGAAGUCGGAAUCGCUAG